UUGGUAUUUAUUUUUGCUUGCAUGGAAUAAGUGCAGAUCUUAUCUUAUGUCUUCACCCACAGCUCUGAAUUCCUAUGUCCUAUAGUAAAGUUGAGACUGGAAAAUAUUGGUACAUUCGAAUCAUCAACCACCUCUGAUUGGAUGAGCUUUGUGUA
Peromyscus maniculatus bairdii (prairie deer mouse) is the source of this 155-nucleotide non-coding RNA. NCBI's taxonomy places the organism in Eukaryota, Metazoa, Chordata, Mammalia, Rodentia, Cricetidae. The record is from RefSeq and is a predicted model, not a curated record.